RNAcentral lists this ribosomal RNA (1001 nucleotides) under Duganella sp. LT14CD. Its description in RNAcentral is "bacterial SSU rRNA". It matches the Rfam family "Bacterial small subunit ribosomal RNA", at positions 54 to 1055 of the family's 1533-position model. Lineage: Bacteria; Pseudomonadati; Pseudomonadota; Betaproteobacteria; Burkholderiales; Oxalobacteraceae. The record is from RNAcentral.
CAUGCAGUCGAACGGCAGCACGGGGCAACCUGGUGGCGAGUGGCGAACGGGUGAGUAAUAUAUCGGAACGUACCCUGGAGUGGGGGAUAACGUAGCGAAAGUUACGCUAAUACCGCAUACGAUCUAAGGAUGAAAGUGGGGGAUUCGCAAGAACCUCAUGCUCCUGGAGCGGCCGAUAUCUGAUUAGCUAGUUGGUAGGGUAAAAGCCUACCAAGGCAUCGAUCAGUAGCUGGUCUGAGAGGACGACCAGCCACACUGGAACUGAGACACGGUCCAGACUCCUACGGGAGGCAGCAGUGGGGAAUUUUGGACAAUGGGCGCAAGCCUGAUCCAGCAAUGCCGCGUGAGUGAAGAAGGCCUUCGGGUUGUAAAGCUCUUUUGUCAGGGAAGAAACGGUGGGAGCUAAUAUUUCUCACUAAUGACGGUACCUGAAGAAUAAGCACCGGCUAACUACGUGCCAGCAGCCGCGGUAAUACGUAGGGUGCAAGCGUUAAUCGGAAUUACUGGGCGUAAAGCGUGCGCAGGCGGCUUUGUAAGUUUGUCGUGAAAUCCCCGGGCUCAACCUGGGAAUGGCGAUGAAGACUGCAAGGCUAGAAUCUGGCAGAGGGGGGUAGAAUUCCACGUGUAGCAGUGAAAUGCGUAGAGAUGUGGAGGAACACCGAUGGCNAANGCAGCCCCCUGGGUCAAGAUUGACGCUCAUGCACGANAGCGUGGGGAGCAAACAGGAUUAGAUACCCUGGUAGUCCACGCCCUANACGAUGUCUACUAGUUGUCGGGUUUUAAUUAACUUGGUAACGCAGCUAACGCGUGAAGUAGACCGCCUGGGGAGUACNGUCGCAAGAUUAAAACUCAAAGGAAUUGACNGGGACCCGCACAAGCGGUGGAUGAUGUGGAUNAAUUCGAUGCAACGCGAAAAACCUUACCUANCCUUGACUGUACGGAANCCUGGAGANAUCNGGUGUGCUCNAAAAAAACCGUAAACANGUGCUGCUGGCUGUCCU